UACGUAGGGCGCAAGCGUUGUCCGGAAUUAUUGGGCGUAAAGAGCUCGUAGGCGGUUUGUUGCGUCCGCUGUGAAAACUCGGGGCUUAACCCCGAGCCUGCAGUGGAUACGGGCAGACUAGAGGUAGGUAGGGGAGAAUGGAAUUCCCGGUGUAGCGGUGAAAUGCGCAGAUAUCGGGAGGAACACCGGUGGCGAAGGCGGGACUCUGGGCCGAUACUGACGCUGAGGAGCGAAAGCGUGGGGAGCAAACAGG
RNAcentral lists this ribosomal RNA (253 nucleotides) under uncultured bacterium. RNAcentral's name for it is "partial 16S ribosomal RNA". It matches the Rfam family "Bacterial small subunit ribosomal RNA", at positions 524 to 776 of the family's 1533-position model. The record is from RNAcentral.